This 506-nucleotide ribosomal RNA is filed under the name uncultured bacterium. RNAcentral describes it as "partial 16S ribosomal RNA". It matches the Rfam family "Bacterial small subunit ribosomal RNA", at positions 29 to 523 of the family's 1533-position model. The record is from RNAcentral.
AGUGAACGCUGGCGGCAGGCCUAAUACAUGCAAGUCGAACGGCAGCACAGCAGAGCUUGCUCUGUGGGUGGCGAGUGGCGGACGGGUGAGGAAUACAUGGGAAUCUGCCCAGUCGUGGGGGAUAACGUAGGGAAACUUACGCUAAUACCGCAUGCGCCCUUCGGGGGAAAGCCGGGGACCUUCGGGCCUGGCUCGAUUGGAUGAGCCCAUGUCGGAUUAGCUAGUUGGCGGGGUACCGGCCCACCAAGGCGACGAUCCGUAGCUGGUCUGAGAGGAUGAUCAGCCACACUGGAACUGAGACACGGUCCAGACUCCUACGGGAGGCAGCAGUAGGGAAUAUUGGACAAUGGGCGCAAGCCUGAUCCAGCCAUGCCGCGUGAGUGAAGAAGGCCUUCGGGUUGUAAAGCUCUUUUGUCCGGAAAGAAAGGCAUCCAGUUAAUACCUGGGUGUCCUGACGGUACCGGAAGAAUAAGCACCGGCUAACUUCGUGCCAGCCGCCGCAGUAA